Molecule: long non-coding RNA, 10420 nt
Organism: Brassica rapa (field mustard)
Lineage: Eukaryota; Viridiplantae; Streptophyta; Magnoliopsida; Brassicales; Brassicaceae
Source: RefSeq, a predicted model, not a curated record
CUUAUGAAGACCUACGCCUAACUACAUCACCUGAGCCGUCCUAUAAAGAUCCACGCCUGGCCAAAUUUACUUGCACCAUGUUGAAGAUCCCUUGUAAGUUUUUUUUUCCGUAGUCUGCAUAAUUGUUUAAUAAACCGCUUUCUCCGGAACUUGAAACCUGGAUUUCUUGUAAUCUGCAAUAAAUUGCAUAGUCUGGGAUUCGAAUCUCAGACCUGGGUGUAGAAGCCUUUAAACCUUAACCAGUAGAAUAUUGAUUUGGCUUUUGUAUGUACAAAAUUCAGCUCAUUUUCUUGAGUUUAUGCCAACGUUCGAAAGCGUUAUGGGUCCGGUAACCUCGAGCCUAGCACCUAACAAAAAAAUCGUGGAUUAGACGAGUUUAAUUGAAACCUAGUUUUAAGACUUUAUAUUAUUUUGUUAGAUAAAUAUUAAAUAUUUUAAAAGCAAACGUAACGUUGGUGAUAGAGAAGUGGUUAGUUGUCUUUAUAUUCUUAUAAUAAACCUGAGUUCAAGCCCAGACAUUAUAUUUUUAUUUGUUUUUAACAUAAAAAUUUAAUCAGUGGUAGAAUAAACAUUGUGUAAUCAUCUUCUUCAAUCUAUGGUAGAACAAACAUUGUGUAAUCAUCUUCUUUCUCAUGUGUGUAUGUUCCAAACCCUAACAUGGUGGCCACCUCUCUUUUUCUUUUUUCUUUUUUUCAUUGUUUUCUUCCACUAUAUUUAUAGCUAAAAUUGAUAAAGCCACUAGAAAACUUUUGGUUUUAAGUAUAAACAAGUUUCUGACCUGUCUUUAAAAGGGCGGGUGUAUUUUUGUUUUACUUUUUUUUGUGAAAUUUAUUUUUUGUAUUUGUGUUUUUUAGUCGUAGUUGUGUUUUUGUAUAAUAUUUCUCUUAAAUGAUUAAUAAAAUAUUUUAAUAAUUAUAUUAAAAUAGUUGGACCACACCUAUAUAAAUAGGUCAUGUUCCUAUUUUAGUAGAAGGGCGGGUAUGGUUUUAUUUUACAUUUUUUAGCAAUUUAAUUUUUGUAUUUGUGUUUUAGUCAUAUUUGUGUUUUUUUGUAUAAUAUUUCUCUUAACGGAUUAAUAAAAUUUUUUAAUGAUUGUAUUAAAAUAGUUGGACCACACCUAUAUCAAUAGGUCAUGUUCCUAUUUUAAUAGAAUAGAUGAACAAAAUCUUGAGUUUUUUUUAAAGAUCGCUGAGUUUUUGUCCUAUUGGUACCAAAUCAUGGCGGUUGGGGGCCGACGAACGAUUUUUCGGCGAGUAAGCUGUUUUAGGCGCCGCAUUUUUGAACAGGGAUUUAAGCCAUCUCAUACUCAGUAGUUAGAUUUUUCAAGGCUUGACACGCGAUUGUUUUAAAAGUUUUUUGGUGUUGAUUUGUCUACUAUUUACAUGGCUUAUUUUAUCUAUUGGCUGACCAUUGAUUUUUAUCAAAAAUUUCAUAUUGUAAAGCCGUUUUUUUUUAUUACUCACUACAAGAAAAAUGGCUUUAGUUAGCGGCCAAAAAACUCUAUCUAACGAUACGAUAGCGGUUUAUGAAGUGAUGUAUCAUCGCCCGUGAUAGUAGGUAAGACACAUUAGAUAGCGGUUUUUGUACUGCUAUUUUAUUAUCAUAUACAAUAGCGUUUGUAUGUUUGCAAUUACAUAUUUUUUAGUAGCAUAUAAUUUUUGUUAUUAUUUAUAUUAUUAUAAAAAAACAAAAAUACAAUUCGAAAAAUACAAUUAAAUAAUAUAAUUUAUUAAUUUUCAUUUACAAAAUAACUGAAUUUGGUUUAUAAAUUAAAAUCGUUUUACAAAAUUAACUAAAUUAAAAAAAAACUAAACCUAAAAAAAUUCCACAGUUCACACCUAAACCUAAUUUGGUUGUUCUCCAACGAGCCGCCAUGGGACUUUUGACGGAAAGCAAAGCAGUCUUCAGCGAGGACGUGAUGUAGGGUUGUCGCAGAGGAGGACCCAUCUCCGGCUAGUUGUUGAGGAGAGGAGCAGAGGAAGCGUAUUUGAGAGGAGGAGAGGCCGCACACAGAGGAAGAGAGACUUGUAGCAGAGCGGUCACAAAGUAGAGGAGCAGAGUUGUCACGAAGCAGGGGGGAGGCGUCACUUCUUCACGGAACAGAGGAGGAGGCGUUACGGUUAAGUCUUAGCCACCACAGAACUAAAAGAUAGAGAGAUAAUAGAGUAGAUGGGAUGCUCCUCCUCUGUCGUUGAGGGAGACAUAUCAGAAGAUAGCGACAGCAGAGAUGUAGAGCUCGCGACAGGUCGAGAUCCGUGACGGGAAGACGUUGGCAAGCUUGAGCAGAGGUGGAGAAGAGAUGCGAUAUAGAGAAGAAUAUGAGAGGUUGGCGGCAGAUGGAAACAAAAGAGACAAGAGAGAGAGAGAGAGAGGAAGACACACAUAUUGACUUUGAUGAGAUUGUAGAGAAGAAAAAAGAUGUGCAUAGAGAGAUGAUGUCAUAGUAGUGAAGAAGACAAAGAUUAAAAAAUUGUUUCAGAUCUGAAAUUAAAAAAGAAUAAAAGAAAUUAAAAAGAAUACUGAAUUGUGGUCUGAUUGUAUAAAAAAGAGGCGAGAGAGAGGAAGAAACACAGAUGAAUGAAUCUGAACCAUUGAAUAAAUUAAAUCAAUGGUCUACACUUUGUAAUCCACACACUUUUUGUUUCAGCCAAUGAAAAAAUAGAAGGAGGAUUACUAUGGAAGAGUUGUUAACACAAAUGGUCAUUUUAUGUGUUUUAUUUACCCUGGAGAGUACAUUGUGCUACACAGACACUUUUAUGUGGUUGAAGACCAAAUUAUCCUCUGAAAAGCAAAACAAGGAUUGGUAUUUAAGUAAAACGAUGUUCAAUGCUAGUUAGGUUGAGAAAAGGCUGGUUACAGAUUUUGAAUUUUGAAUAAAGCAGCGAUUAGUUGGUGGACCCCAUAGGAUGUUAAAUCCAAUUGAUAAAUUAUUUCUUGAGCCCGUAAAAGGCAAAUAAUUUUUUUUUUAUCUGUAAAAAAUUAAAAGUGACAGUUUCUGCGAGAGAGAAUGACGGAGAAAAAAAAGACAAAUGACGAAAUCAAAAUCGACGGCGGCCCAUGUAUGCAUGCGUAAUCGACGAUGACGACGAAGAAGAAGCGCUCAGGAAAGGAGAAAGCAAAAGAGGUAGCGACGACGGUUGAGGAAGAGGUGAAUGAUAGGAUACCAACCCGUUUGUUUGCGGCGGUCUGGUUUCCGAGUAGGAGGCUUAACUGCUACUCAUCGUUGGAGUACCUUCUGCUGGUGAGGGGUGUGCUUGAAGGUAGUGAAGAGGCAGAGAGGUUAAAGAUGGUAUGUAAUCGAGGACGAGGCAGCAACAAAGAAGGCGGAGGUGUUAGAGGCUGAGUAUGAUAUUCAGGUAACUAGUUGUACACAUGUACGAACGUUUUAGGUUGUACAUGCUACAUGUGAUGUACAUGUGUACACUACGAACUUAUGUGUACAUGUGUACUAUAUGAACGUAUGUGUACAUGUUUACUUUGCAUAUUAUGCUUGUAUAGUUUGCAAUAGAGCUGUGUAUUGAUUUUGCUUUGAUUUGCCGUGUUUCUAUAUUUGCAGCUGACUGUGCAACCUAUGAUGGAGUGUGGGGAGGAGAAGGAGGAUGGUUGGGAAAAAUUUAACAGUGAGAAAUUUUGAUCGUCAAUAAGGCUGGACACAGAUUUUUAAUAUCUAUGCGAUGUAGACAGAUGUUAAGGUUACAUUUAUUUUUGAUGUUUAACUAUGCACUGAAGGUCUAAGUGAAUUUUUUAAGUGGGUGUGCGGAUAUAAAGAUGUACAAUUGAAUCUCAUAAAUAUGUUCGUAAAGUAGAAUAUUGAUGUACAGUAGAAUAUUGAUUUGGCUUUUGUAUGUACAAAAUUCAGCUCAUUUUCUUGAGUUUAUGCCAACGUUCGAAAGCGUUAUGGGUCCGGUAACCUCGAGCCUAGCACCUAACAAAAAAAUCGUGGAUUAGACGAGUUUAAUUGAAACCUAGUUUUAAGACUUUAUAUUAUUUUGUUAGAUAAAUAUUAAAUAUUUUAAAAGCAAACGUAACGUUGGUGAUAGAGAAGUGGUUAGUUGUCUUUAUAUUCUUAUAAUAAACCUGAGUUCAAGCCCAGACAUUAUAUUUUUAUUUGUUUUUAACAUAAAAAUUUAAUCAGUGGUAGAAUAAACAUUGUGUAAUCAUCUUCUUCAAUCUAUGGUAGAACAAACAUUGUGUAAUCAUCUUCUUUCUCAUGUGUGUAUGUUCCAAACCCUAACAUGGUGGCCACCUCUCUUUUUCUUUUUUCUUUUUUUCAUUGUUUUCUUCCACUAUAUUUAUAGCUAAAAUUGAUAAAGCCACUAGAAAACUUUUGGUUUUAAGUAUAAACAAGUUUCUGACCUGUCUUUAAAAGGGCGGGUGUAUUUUUGUUUUACUUUUUUUUGUGAAAUUUAUUUUUUGUAUUUGUGUUUUUUAGUCGUAGUUGUGUUUUUGUAUAAUAUUUCUCUUAAAUGAUUAAUAAAAUAUUUUAAUAAUUAUAUUAAAAUAGUUGGACCACACCUAUAUAAAUAGGUCAUGUUCCUAUUUUAGUAGAAGGGCGGGUAUGGUUUUAUUUUACAUUUUUUAGCAAUUUAAUUUUUGUAUUUGUGUUUUAGUCAUAUUUGUGUUUUUUUGUAUAAUAUUUCUCUUAACGGAUUAAUAAAAUUUUUUAAUGAUUGUAUUAAAAUAGUUGGACCACACCUAUAUCAAUAGGUCAUGUUCCUAUUUUAAUAGAAUAGAUGAACAAAAUCUUGAGUUUUUUUUAAAGAUCGCUGAGUUUUUGUCCUAUUGGUACCAAAUCAUGGCGGUUGGGGGCCGACGAACGAUUUUUCGGCGAGUAAGCUGUUUUAGGCGCCGCAUUUUUGAACAGGGAUUUAAGCCAUCUCAUACUCAGUAGUUAGAUUUUUCAAGGCUUGACACGCGAUUGUUUUAAAAGUUUUUUGGUGUUGAUUUGUCUACUAUUUACAUGGCUUAUUUUAUCUAUUGGCUGACCAUUGAUUUUUAUCAAAAAUUUCAUAUUGUAAAGCCGUUUUUUUUUAUUACUCACUACAAGAAAAAUGGCUUUAGUUAGCGGCCAAAAAACUCUAUCUAACGAUACGAUAGCGGUUUAUGAAGUGAUGUAUCAUCGCCCGUGAUAGUAGGUAAGACACAUUAGAUAGCGGUUUUUGUACUGCUAUUUUAUUAUCAUAUACAAUAGCGUUUGUAUGUUUGCAAUUACAUAUUUUUAGUAGCAUAUAAUUUUUGUUAUUAUUUAUAUUAUUAUAAAAAAACAAAAAUACAAUUCGAAAAAUACAAUUAAAUAAUAUAAUUUAUUAAUUUUCAUUUACAAAAUAACUGAAUUUGGUUUAUAAAUUAAAAUCGUUUUACAAAAUUAACUAAAUUUAAAAAAAACUAAACCUAAAAAAAUUCCACAGUUCACACCUAAACCUAAUUUGGUUGUUCUCCAACGAGCCGCCAUGGGACUUUUGACGGAAAGCAAAGCAGUCUUCAGCGAGGACGUGAUGUAGGGUUGUCGCAGAGGAGGACCCAUCUCCGGCUAGUUGUUGAGGAGAGGAGCAGAGGAAGCGUAUUUGAGAGGAGGAGAGGCCGCACACAGAGGAAGAGAGACUUGUAGCAGAGCGGUCACAAAGUAGAGGAGCAGAGUUGUCACGAAGCAGGGGGGAGGCGUCACUUCUUCACGGAACAGAGGAGGAGGCGUUACGGUUAAGUCUUAGCCACCACAGAACUAAAAGAUAGAGAGAUAAUAGAGUAGAUGGGAUGCUCCUCCUCUGUCGUUGAGGGAGACAUAUCAGAAGAUAGCGACAGCAGAGAUGUAGAGCUCGCGACAGGUCGAGAUCCGUGACGGGAAGACGUUGGCAAGCUUGAGCAGAGGUGGAGAAGAGAUGCGAUAUAGAGAAGAAUAUGAGAGGUUGGCGGCAGAUGGAAACAAAAGAGACAAGAGAGAGAGAGAGAGAGGAAGACACACAUAUUGACUUUGAUGAGAUUGUAGAGAAGAAAAAAGAUGUGCAUAGAGAGAUGAUGUCAUAGUAGUGAAGAAGACAAAGAUUAAAAAAUUGUUUCAGAUCUGAAAUUAAAAAAGAAUAAAAGAAAUUAAAAAGAAUACUGAAUUGUGGUCUGAUUGUAUAAAAAAGAGGCGAGAGAGAGGAAGAAACACAGAUGAAUGAAUCUGAACCAUUGAAUAAAUUAAAUCAAUGGUCUACACUUUGUAAUCCACACACUUUUUGUUUCAGCCAAUGAAAAAAUAGAAGGAGGAUUACUAUGGAAGAGUUGUUAACACAAAUGGUCAUUUUAUGUGUUUUAUUUACCCUGGAGAGUACAUUGUGCUACACAGACACUUUUAUGUGGUUGAAGACCAAAUUAUCCUCUGAAAAGCAAAACAAGGAUUGGUAUUUAAGUAAAACGAUGUUCAAUGCUAGUUAGGUUGAGAAAAGGCUGGUUACAGAUUUUGAAUUUUGAAUAAAGCAGCGAUUAGUUGGUGGACCCCAUAGGAUGUUAAAUCCAAUUGAUAAAUUAUUUCUUGAGCCCGUAAAAGGCAAAUAAUUUUUUUUUUAUCUGUAAAAAAUUAAAAGUGACAGUUUCUGCGAGAGAGAAUGACGGAGAAAAAAAAGACAAAUGACGGCCUAUGUAUGCAUGCGUAAUCGACGAUGACGACGAAGAAGAAGCGCUCAGGAAAGGAGAAAGCAAAAGGUGAGUUUAUUUGUGGUUUUCCAAUUGGCUCAAAUUUAGGGUUUCUAUGUAAGAUUGUUCUUGGAUUUGACGAGUUUCUUGUCACGGUACAGAGGUAGCGACGACGGUUGAGGAAGAGGUGAAUGAUAGGAUACCAACCCGUUUGUUUGCGGCGGUCUGGUUUCCGAGUAGGAGGCUUAACUGCUACUCAUCGUUGGAGUACCUUCUGCUGGUGAGGGGUGUGCUUGAAGGUAGUGAAGAGGCAGAGAGGUUAAAGAUGGUAUGUAAUCGAGGACGAGGCAGCAACAAAGAAGGCGGAGGUGUUAGAGGCUGAGUAUGAUAUUCAGGUAACUAGUUGUACACAUGUACGAACGUUUUAGGUUGUACAUGCUACAUGUGAUGUACAUGUGUACACUACGAACUUAUGUGUACAUGUGUACUAUAUGAACGUAUGUGUACAUGUUUACUUUGCAUAUUAUGCUUGUAUAGUUUGCAAUAGAGCUGUGUAUUGAUUUUGCUUUGAUUUGCCGUGUUUCUAUAUUUGCAGCUGACUGUGCAACCUAUGAUGGAGUGUGGGGAGGAGAAGGAGGAUGGUUGGGAAAAAUUUAACAGUGAGAAAUUUUGAUCGUCAAUAAGGCUGGACACAGAUUUUUAAUAUCUAUGCGAUGUAGACAGAUGUUAAGGUUACAUUUAUUUUUGAUGUUUAACUAUGCACUGAAGGUCUAAGUGAAUUUUUUAAGUGGGUGUGCGGAUAUAAAGAUGUACAAUUAAAUGUAACAUCGAUACGUCGUGGGUCAGUGACACUGAGAACACUGGAGCUUCUUGGCUCCUUCGUAAUAGUUCAGGGGAGCCUCUGGUGCAUAGCCGACGAUCCUUCUCUGCCAUUUCUAAUAAGCUUGAGGCAGAGCUCUUAAGUUUUUCAUGGGCUAUAGAUUGUCUCUCAGACUUACGUUUUGGUCAAGUUGUCUUUGAAUCAUCAUCUUACCUUGCGGGUGAAGCGAUCCUCAGACCUGAAAUGUUCCUUGGUUUUCAAGACCUGUUGGCUCAUAUCCGUGAUAAACUGAGUGGCUUUAGAUUGUGGAACAUCUCAUAUGCACAUCUCCAAGGCAAUAGAUGCGCCCAUGAAAUAGCUCUAAGUGUCACUAGGGAUCAGCGGUAUCAAUCAUACAUAGCUCGUGGUGGACCAUUUUGGCUACGAUCGCUGAUUGAAGAGGAUGCAAAGGACGACACAUGAAGUCUCUUAAUGGAUAAGACCUUAUCCAUGACUGGUCUGGUCUCCUUCUUCACCCUCCCCUCUGUCUGUGGUGUCACGUUUCUAUUUCCUUUGCUUGUUUCUGGUUCCUAUUGGUUCCCUUGAUUUAUUUGCUUGUGUUUUGUUUGUUUUCAAACUGGUUUGGACUGAGGUCUAUCUCGUCCCCCCCUUUUUUUAUUUGAAUGAAAGUUACUAAGAGUUAAAAAAAAAAAAGUAUGAGAAAAUAACUGGUUGUACAUGUGUACAAGAAACAAAAAAUGUACAAGUGGACAAAGGUAAAUAGUAGAAAUGACAUAAUAGAGUGUACGUGUGGUGAAAUAAAUUAAGUGAAAUUUACAAACACAUGAUUCAUGGCAUUAAAGUGUGUGCAACAAAAAUGUGAUAGUUUUUUUUCAUAUUCAUAGGCAUGUAAACUAUUGGUGAGUUGCUGGCUGUACAUGUGUACAGAUUUACAAAGUUAAUGGCCAUGAAUAAAUUAAGUGAAAUUGGGGAAAACAUAAUGAUGUAGAAUGAAAGUAUAUUUGCAAACUGAAACAGAGCAUUCUUCGCAAAGGCUGGGGUGUUCAGAUGGAAAACCAACAAAUAAAAAAAAAUGUGUUUAAGAAAUAUGUACAUAAUCAAUUUGAUGUAUACACUUGUUAUCCAAAAUAGUAAUAUCAAAAAAUUGAAAUGUAGAAAUCAUUUCGAAAUGCAUAGCAUUUCAAAAGUAUUACAAGCAGCUCAAUAAUGAACAUAUUUAUAUGUACACUUGUUUACCGAAAUUGACAUGUACACUUUACUAUGGUGUAAUAUUCAAUUAGACACCCACCAAUUUAUAACAUGCAUUUACAAGUAAAACGAUCAAAUGGUGAAUAUGUGUACACAAAAUAAUUACUAUAUCCAUAUAUACAAAGAUUCUAUGUACAACGAUUCACAAACAUAUAUUGUACAUCAGAUCGGUAAAUUUAUCACAUUUGCAAGAACAUGAGCUGAAGAAACCACAUUUGAUAUAAGCUUGAAUCCACAAGACUUAUAACACUAGAUACUUUGAGAUUUAAAUCUUGAUUCCACAAACUAUUCUAACUCGCAAAACAAAACUCUCAAAGACAAUACAUUGAAAACAUAAGCUUUUUGAUUGAUGGUUGGAAGAUGAAUGAGAAAUACAAAGGUUCUUAGCUUUCUUAGGCUAUCAGAACUGACCUCCAAUGGUCUAGACUGACAAAACAGAGGAAAAUAUUAUUUAGAAACAAAUAAUCUUCUCCCAUUGAUGAGUUUAGCCGUUAGGCUUUAAUUGGAGAUUCUCCUUGAAGCAAAUAAUCAUAUCCCAUUUAUGAGCAAGGUAUUCUUAACCCUUUCGAUGGAAGACGUUGGCGACGAUGGUUGCAGCAUGAGACUUGGUUUGAGAAUCGGUAUUGAGGUUGUAUAGAUGAGUGAUGCUUCGAUGAGUGUAGUAGAAAUUUGGGACUUAUUUGCCAGCGGAUUCGAACUGUGUAGUAAGCCAUGUUUUCACCUCUGAGAUUUGGCAGCUGCAGUCUAAAGAAAAAAAAGGUAACAAGAACUAGGGAGAUGAUGAUUUUGCUUAAUACAAUGGAAAUAAUCUUGGUCGUAGAUAGUAAAAGCACAUCAGUUAAUCUAAUGGCUUUGAAUAUUGGUAGAUAUAAGUCUAAUCAAGAGCUGGGAAAAUAGAUCUUGACCGUUGGAACUGGAGACAGAUCAAUGGUGGCAGUGAAAACCCACCACUUAUCUGUUUUGUAAGGAAAAUAGACUUUUAUGAUUGAACUAAUAAAUAACUAAUUAAGUUAAGAAUGAGUGGGAGUGGUUAUGGAAAGUGUGUAGAAGAAUGUGUCUUAUAGUGUAAUAAAGAAGAUGAAAUGUGUCCUAGAGCGUAAAUGGUUUUUUUUAAGCAAAAUGAGGAUUACUAGUUAUUGUUAUUUUUAUUGUAGUUUUAAUAUUAUAUGGAGAUAAAUAAUUUAAGAAAUUGCAAAUAUUAAGUUUCAGAGAUUAGUUUAAACUUUUCGAAUAAUCUUUUUAGUAUUGAGAUUUCUUUUUAAUUAAUUGAAAGUUAUAUUAAGAGUUUGGAAUUUAGAAUAAAAAAAGGUACGAGUAUAGAGUUAGAGGGUAAAGGUUUUGGGGUAUUGAUUUUUUAUGUUUUGAGAUUAAUUUUUGAAAAAAAAAUAAUUUUUGGGUUUAUAACUAAGAAUAUAAGUUAAUUUUAUGAUUUCAUGCUGAAAUAUUAGAGUUUAAAGUUUGUAUUUAGAAUUUAGGGUUUAAAACUUAUUUAGGGUUUAGGGAUUCAAAAAGUCAAAGAUAACAUUUUUAGUUAUGUUUUGCUAUUAAACGUAAGUGUGACAUAUAAAACCAUAUGAUAUCAUAGUGUUUUCAAAUAUAUCACUCUAUCGUAGCAUUUCAAAAUAUACAAACGCUAUCUAAAACAAACAGGUAUGUCAACCAUAUCACAAUCAGAAAAAAAAACGCUAUAAUGCUGUGCUAUUAAAACACAAAUUUCUUGUACUGACGGGUGUAUCCGAU